GAACGCUAGCGACAGGCCUAACACAUGCAAGUCAGGGGCAGCACAAGGAGCAAUCUGAGGUGGCGACCGGCGCACGGGUGAGUAACACGUAUGCAACCUGCCUGUAAGCGGGGAAUAACCCGUUGAAAGACGGACUAAUACCGCAUAAUACUAAAUUACUGCAUGGUAAUUUAUUUAAACAUUUAUGGCUUACAGAUGGGCAUGCGCAUGAUUGGCUAGUUGGAGAGGUAACGGCUCCCCAAGGCAACGAUCAUUAGGGGUUCUGAGAGGAAGGUCCCCCACACUGGUACUGAGACACGGACCAGACUCCUACGGGAGGCAGCAGUGAGGAAUAUUGGUCAAUGGACGAGAGUCUGAACCAGCCAAGUCGCGUGCAGGAAGAAUGUCCUUAAUGGAUUGUAAACUGCUUUUGCAGGGGAAUAAAGUGCAUCACGUGUGAUGUUUUGUAUGUACUCUGCGAAUAAGGAUCGGCUAACUCCGUGCCAGCAGCAGC
This 493-nucleotide ribosomal RNA is filed under the name uncultured bacterium. RNAcentral describes it as "bacterial SSU rRNA". It matches the Rfam family "Bacterial small subunit ribosomal RNA", at positions 31 to 518 of the family's 1533-position model. The record is from RNAcentral.